This 200-nucleotide unclassified non-coding RNA is filed under the name Hevea brasiliensis (rubber tree). Lineage: Eukaryota; Viridiplantae; Streptophyta; Magnoliopsida; Malpighiales; Euphorbiaceae. The record is from RNAcentral.
CCGAUCGAAAUCAACGACCUUUUCGCGGCCUAUUCGAUUCCCAUCGCAUCUGCUGUGCUGGCGCAGGACCCAGAUCAGGCGGCACGCGCGGCGACACCCAUUCUGGCGGAAGGGAAUACGGUGGUCGUCAAGAUCAGUUCGCCGGAUAUUCUAAACAAGUCCGACGUCGGAGGCGUGCGCCUGAACCUGACCAGCGAGCG